Long non-coding RNA from Papaver somniferum (opium poppy), 1427 nucleotides. RefSeq lists it as uncharacterized. The record is from RefSeq and is a predicted model, not a curated record. NCBI's taxonomy places the organism in Eukaryota, Viridiplantae, Streptophyta, Magnoliopsida, Ranunculales, Papaveraceae. The transcript is spliced from 2 exons.
UCUUCUUCUUUGUUUCUUAUUUCUCUUUCCUUCUUUUUUUUUGUUCUUCUCCUCUGCGAAUUCGAGAGAUCGAAUGAGGGAUCUAUGAAAAGUAGAAGGUGGAACGGAUCAUGGUUAGCUGUUAGUGAUGUUUGUUGUUAUCCGUUGAUGAUGCAUACUCGAAGGAGAAAGUGAAAUAGAAGUUAGGGUUUCUGAGGUUGAAGUUCUUGAGGAAUUGAUGAUGAUAUGGUACUGUUGAAGGAUAAGUAACAAUUGGGUUGUGGUUUAAUUGGAACCUUGAAGUUGUUUCAGUGACGAAUCAGUGAUGAAUCGAGUAAUUAAGGUUUCUGAAUUUAGUUCUGAGAAUUCGAUUAAGGAUGAACAAGAAGAAGUUAAGAAAUGGGUUUACUCUUAAUUAGUGUUUGAUGGAAGUUGUGGGUUUGUUCUGAAGAUUUAUUAAGAAUUACAGAAUUAGGUUUCCUCUGUAAAUCAAAGAUGGUGAUGAAGAUUUUUGGGUAUUUAUUGUUUGACAUGAGUGUGCAAUUGAGGCAAAGGAAGGAAGAAUUCGACCUCAGUUGCCUGAGCAACACUGAUUUGAGGGAAUGAUUGGUGGUUGUGGUUAUGAGCUAUAUGAGAUGUUGCAGGAAGUGUGUGUUAUCUAAGUUGAGAUUUAGCUGAGUUGUUGUAGUUGAUUCAUGGAAUUACAGGGUUGAGUAUAAAAGAGAUAAGUUUCAUAGGAGUUACAGAUUGGUGGUGGUGGUUAUCUUAAUAUUGAAAUGGUGGUGUUGGUGUCAACUGUGAUGUUGAAGCUGCAGGGGACAUUAGUGAAUUGAUUGAUUCCAGUGAAGACAUGAAUGAAACUGAGAUAUGCUUUAGAGGAAUGCUUUGAAGUUGCAAUGGAUAUAAGUGGAUGUUAGAGACGUACUGUUGGUGGCUCGUGUUGUUUGUGUUGGCUCUAAAGUGUGCAUAACAUGUGGUGGCAGUUGAGGAUGGUUGAAUUGGUAGUGCUGAUGAGUUGGUAUGGAAGUGAACUAUAAUGGGUGCAGGUGAGGAUUGUGUUAGAUAUGAAAAUGUGAUAUGAUGAAUUUUGUGUUUUUUGCGGGAGUUGAGACGUUGUUGGAUAUAGCCAGUGAUAUCAGAUUGAUUGGCAGUUCAUUGAGGGACAUGAUCUGGGUUUGGUAGUGGUGCUGUAAUGAAGCUACAGGGUUAGUGAUGAACAAGUUGUUUGGGAUGUGUUGUAUGGAAUUGGUUGAAGUGAUAAUGAUGUUGUUGUUAGAGAGUUAGGUUGAGUGUUGAAGGUGUAACAGAGAUGAUAGUUGCAGGUCUAUAGUUAGUGAUAGAUGUGAAAGCCUAAAGCUGCAAUUGCAGGUAAUUACGAUGUAAUUGUGUUUGUAAUUUCAUUCUGAAAUUUUCUUAAGAAUUUAUGAGUUGAAGUUGUAUUUGAGUUA